RNAcentral lists this ribosomal RNA (1370 nucleotides) under uncultured bacterium. Its description in RNAcentral is "bacterial SSU rRNA". It matches the Rfam family "Bacterial small subunit ribosomal RNA". The record is from RNAcentral.
AGAGUUUGAUCCUGGCUCAGAACGAACUCUGGCGGCGUGGAUAAGACAUGCAAGUCGAACGAGAGAAUUGCUAGCUUGCUAAUAAUUCUCUAGUGGCGCACGGGUGAGUAACACGUGAGUAACCUGCCCCCGAGAGCGGGAUAGCCCUGGGAAACUGGGAUUAAUACCGCAUAGUAUCGAAAGAUUAAAGCAGCAAUGCGCUUGGGGAUGGGCUCGCGGCCUAUUAGUUAGUUGGUGAGGUAACGGCUCACCAAGGCGAUGACGGGUAGCCGGUCUGAGAGGAUGUCCGGCCACACUGGAGCUGAGACACGGUCCAGACACCUACGGGUGGCAGCAGUCGAGAAUCAUUCACAAUGGGGGAAACCCUGAUGGUGCGACGCCGCGUGGGGGAAUGAAGGUCUUCGGAUUGUAAACCCCUGUCAUGUGGGAGCAAAUUAAAAAGAUAGUACCACAAGAGGAAGAGACGGCUAACUCUGUGCCAGCAGCCGCGGUAAUACAGAGGUCUCAAGCGUUGUUCGGAAUCACUGGGCGUAAAGCGUGCGUAGGCUGUUUCGUAAGUCGUGUGUGAAAGGCGCGGGCUCAACCCGCGGACGGCACAUGAUACUGCGAGACUAGAGUAAUGGAGGGGGAACCGGAAUUCUCGGUGUAGCAGUGAAAUGCGUAGAUAUCGAGAGGAACACUCGUGGCGAAGGCGGGUUCCUGGACAUUAACUGACGCUGAGGCACGAAGGCCAGGGGAGCGAAAGGGAUUAGAUACCCCUGUAGUCCUGGCAGUAAACGGUGCACGCUUGGUGUGCGGGGAAUCGACCCCCUGCGUGCCGGAGCUAACGCGUUAAGCGUGCCGCCUGGGGAGUACGGUCGCAAGAUUAAAACUCAAAGAAAUUGACGGGGACCCGCACAAGCGGUGGAGUAUGUGGCUUAAUUCGAUGCAACGCGAAGAACCUUACCUGGGCUUGACAUGUAAUGAACAACAUGUGAAAGCAUGCGACUCUUCGGAGGCGUUACACAGGUGCUGCAUGGCCGUCGUCAGCUCGUGUCGUGAGAUGUUUGGUUAAGUCCAGCAACGAGCGCAACCCCUGUUGCCAGUUACCAGCACGUGAAGGUGGGGACUCUGGCGAGACUGCCCAGAUCAACUGGGAGGAAGGUGGGGACGACGUCAGGUCAGUAUGGCCCUUAUGCCCAGGGCUGCACACGUACUACAAUGCCCAGUACAGAGGGGGCCGAAGCCGCGAGGCGGAGGAAAUCCUAAAAACUGGGCCCAGUUCGGACUGUAGGCUGCAACCCGCCUACACGAAGCCGGAAUCGCUAGUAAUGGCGCAUCAGCUACGGCGCCGUGAAUACGUUCCCGGGUCUUGCACACACCGCCCGUCA